UGCCCCAGUAACGCGCGAGUGAAGCGGCAAGAGCUCAAAUUUGAAAGCUGGCUCCUUCGGGGUCCGCAUUGUAAUUUGUAGAGGAUGCUUCGGGAGCGGUCCCCAUCUAAGUGCCCUGGAACGGGACGUCAUAGAGGGUGAGAAUCCCGUAUGGGAUGGGGUGUCCGCGCCCGUGUGAAGCUCCUUCGACGAGUCGAGUUGUUUGGGAAUGCAGCUCUAAAUGGGUGGUAAAUUUCAUCUAAAGCUAAAUAUUGGCCGGAGACCGAUAGCGCACAAGUAGAGUGAUCGAAAGAUGAAAAGCACUUUGAAAAGAGAGUUAAAAAGCACGUGAAAUUGUUGAAAGGGAAGCGCUUGCGACCAGACUCGCUCGCGGGGUUCAGCCGGCAUUCGUGCCGGUGUACUUCCCCGCGGGCGGGCCAGCGUCGGUUUGGGCGGUCGGUCAAAGGCCCUCGGAAGGUAACGCCCCUAGGGGCGUCUUAUAGCCGAGGGUGCAAUGCGACCUGCCUAGACCGAGGAACGCGCUUCGGCUCGGACGCUGGCAUAAUGGUCGUAAACGAC
RNAcentral lists this ribosomal RNA (558 nucleotides) under uncultured fungus. RNAcentral describes it as "eukaryotic LSU rRNA". It matches the Rfam family "Eukaryotic large subunit ribosomal RNA", at positions 76 to 648 of the family's 3401-position model. The record is from RNAcentral. Lineage: Eukaryota; Fungi.